RNAcentral lists this transfer RNA (73 nucleotides) under Amanita thiersii. RNAcentral's name for it is "tRNA-Met". It matches the Rfam family "tRNA". From Rfam's summary of the family: Transfer RNA (tRNA) molecules are approximately 80 nucleotides in length. Their secondary structure includes four short double-helical elements and three loops (D, anti-codon, and T loops). Lineage: Eukaryota; Fungi; Basidiomycota; Agaricomycetes; Agaricales; Amanitaceae. The record is from RNAcentral.
GCCGAUGUAGUUUAAAAGGUUAAAACAUACCAUUCAUGACGGUAAAAAGAAGGUUCGAUCCCUUCUUUCGGCU